Small nucleolar RNA from Tripterygium wilfordii, 155 nucleotides. RefSeq annotates it as small nucleolar RNA snoR135. The transcript has a single exon. The record is from RefSeq and is a predicted model, not a curated record. Lineage: Eukaryota; Viridiplantae; Streptophyta; Magnoliopsida; Celastrales; Celastraceae.
UAAGCAGGGAAGUGUGUAUCGGCGUUGUGCGAUAAUGAAUGCACUCUGAAUCCGAAAGUGUUCCCUGCAACAAGAACCGAAAUCAAUCGGGGGGAAGAUGGGCAGUUGUGUUUCAAUCUCCAUUGAAUUUCUCAACAAUCAUCUUCCCCACAUUU